CGGGACGGGUGAGUAACGCGUGGAUAACCUGCCUUACACUGGGGGAUAACACUUAGAAAUAGGUGCUAAUACCGCAUAAGCGCACAGCCCCGCAUGGGGGAGUGUGAAAAACUCCGGUGGUGUAAGAUGGGUCCGCGUCUGAUUAGCUAGUUGGCAGGGUAACGGCCUACCAAGGCAGCGAUCAGUAGCCGGCCUGAGAGGGUGGACGGCCACAUUGGGACUGAGACACGGCCCAGACUCCUACGGAAGGCAGCAG
RNAcentral lists this ribosomal RNA (256 nucleotides) under uncultured bacterium. RNAcentral's name for it is "partial 16S ribosomal RNA". It matches the Rfam family "Bacterial small subunit ribosomal RNA", at positions 98 to 354 of the family's 1533-position model. The record is from RNAcentral.